CAAGUCGAACGGUGAUCUCGGUGCUUGCACCGGGUGAUCAGUGGCGAACGGGUGAGUAACACGUGAGCAACCUGCCCCUGACUCUGGGAUAACCCCGAGAAAUCGGAGCUAAUACCGGAUACGAGACGCACGGGCAUCCGUAGCGUCUGGAAAGAAUUUUGGUCAGGGAUGGGCUCGCGGCCUAUCAGCUUGUUGGUGGGGUAACGGCCCACCAAGGCGACGACGGGUAGCCGGCCUGAGAGGGCGACCGGCCACACUGGGACUGAGACACGGCCCAGACUCCUACGGGAGGCAGCAGUGGGGAAUAUUGCACAAUGGGCGAAAGCCUGAUGCAGCGACGCCGCGUGGGGGAUGAAGGCCUUCGGGUUGUAAACCCCUUUCAGCAGGGAAGAAGCGAAAGUGACGGUACCUGCAGAAGAAGCGCCGGCUAACUACGUGCCAGCAGCCGCGGUAAUACGUAGGGCGCAAGCGUUGUCCGGAAUUAUUGGGCGUAAAGAGCUCGUAGGCGGUUUGUCGCGUCUGCUGUGAAAACCCGAGGCUCAACCUCGGGCCUGCAGUGGGUACGGGCAGACUAGAGUGCGGUAGGGGAGACUGGAAUUCCUGGUGUAGCGGUGGAAUGCGCAGAUAUCAGGAGGAACACCGAUGGCGAAGGCAGGUCUCUGGGCCGCAACUGACGCUGAGGAGCGAAAGCAUGGGGAGCGAACAGGAUUAGAUACCCUGGUAGUCCAUGCCGUAAACGUUGGGCACUAGGUGUGGGGCUCAUUCCACGAGUUCCGUGCCGCAGCAAACG
This 790-nucleotide ribosomal RNA is filed under the name Cellulomonas carbonis. Its description in RNAcentral is "bacterial SSU rRNA". It matches the Rfam family "Bacterial small subunit ribosomal RNA", at positions 58 to 857 of the family's 1533-position model. The record is from RNAcentral. Lineage: Bacteria; Bacillati; Actinomycetota; Actinomycetes; Micrococcales; Cellulomonadaceae.